This 442-nucleotide long non-coding RNA is filed under the name Bos mutus (wild yak). RNAcentral describes it as "lncRNA (ENSBMUG00000010559.1)". Lineage: Eukaryota; Metazoa; Chordata; Mammalia; Artiodactyla; Bovidae. The record is from RNAcentral.
CGAGCUUCCGUCCCCAUUCCUGGCUGAGGCCCAAAGGUAAACAGGUGUAUUUGGACUCCCGGCAGGGGACAGGGGGUUGGCCCCGCGGGGCAGGCCUGGGCCUGUCAGAGGUGGGGAUGUGGAGAGAAGCCUGCUUUCACAAUGGGUGGCAGAGUGGCCCCGGGUCCUGCUGACACAUUCUUGGAUGGUGAAGAGGAAAACACAGCAUCAAGGACAGGCACCAGCUUCCGAAGUACUGAAGGAAUGAAUGCACGAAGGAAAGAAUGAACGAACGAAGGAGCUGGCUGAGCAGAUGGACAAAAGGCAAGAGUACUGGAGUGGGGUGCCAUCGCCUUCUCCGAGAUGACCCACGGUGACCUCCAAAGGGACUUGGGAAGAGACAGGUAUGAAUGACAAUCCAAGAUGUGGCUACACAAUGAAAACGACUCCCCCCGCCCCCGGG